ACUCAAAUGAAUUGACGGGGGCCCGCACAAGCGGUGGAGCAUGUGGUUCAAUUCGACGCAACGCGAAGAACCUUACCCAGGCUUGAACUGCGAGUGACAUCCUACGAAAGUAGGCUUCCGCAAGGACACUCGUAGAGGUGCUGCAUGGCUGUCGUCAGCUCGUGUCGUGAGAUGUUGGGUUAAGUCCCGCAACGAGCGCAACCCUUGUCUUCUGUUGCCAUCGGGUCAAGCCGGGCACUCUGAAGAGACUGCCGGUGACAAACCGGAGGAAGGUGGGGAUGACGUCAAGUCAGCAUGGCCUUUAUGUCUGGGGCCACACACGUGCUACAAUGGCCGGUACAAACCGUUGCAAACUCGCGAGGGUGAGCUAAUCGGAGAAAGCCGGUCUCAGUUCGGAUUGUAGGCUGCAACUCGCCUGCAUGAAGUUGGAAUCGCUAGUAAUCGCGGAUCAGCACGCCGCGGUGAAUACGUUCCCGGGCCUUGUACACACCGCCCGU
RNAcentral lists this ribosomal RNA (497 nucleotides) under uncultured bacterium. RNAcentral describes it as "partial 16S ribosomal RNA". It matches the Rfam family "Bacterial small subunit ribosomal RNA", at positions 899 to 1397 of the family's 1533-position model. The record is from RNAcentral.